Alosa alosa (allis shad) is the source of this 525-nucleotide long non-coding RNA. RefSeq lists it as uncharacterized. The transcript has 3 exons. The record is from RefSeq and is a predicted model, not a curated record. NCBI's taxonomy places the organism in Eukaryota, Metazoa, Chordata, Actinopteri, Clupeiformes, Clupeidae.
AAUAUUUGAAUGAAUCAAAUUAAAUAUUUGAAUGAAUCAUAUUGAACAAAUUCAUAGACAGCUGAAUCAUAUUAAACAUACUCGUAGGCAGCUAGGCUACUAAUAAACGGAGGAUUCCUUUUAGGCAACGUACGCCUGGUAAGACAGGACUACGGUGUAGAACAUCUUCAGAUGUCAGAUGUCAGACAUCAGAUGAAAAGGCUUCAGGUCUCAGGAAAACAUCUGUCUCAGACAUCAGAAGCAAGACCACCAGUGUCCUCCAGUCCCGGGCGAUCUCUCUGACCAGACACUCAAGUGGCAACUCUGAAUCAGCAGCAGUCGGACUUCAGGAAGGCAGGGGUUCUCACUCUUCCAACCCGGGCCCACCAAAACCAUUCUACAGUGCAUGAAGCACAAUACAUAGCCAUGUUCUAGGCUACUGCUCUUCAUACUAUUCAUCCUGCACAUACACUAAUUCUACCUACUUUUAUAUUGUUACUGUUUCUGCAUUGCAAUGCCAGGCCUACUGUUACCACACUGCACAUA